This 172-nucleotide ribosomal RNA is filed under the name uncultured bacterium. Its description in RNAcentral is "partial 16S ribosomal RNA". It matches the Rfam family "Bacterial small subunit ribosomal RNA", at positions 335 to 524 of the family's 1533-position model. The record is from RNAcentral.
ACUCCUACGGGAGGCAGCAGUGGGGAAUAUUGGACAAUGGGCGCAAGCCUGAUCCAGCAAUGCCGCGUGGGUGAUGAAGGCCUUCGGGUUGUAAAGCCCUUUUGGCGGGGACGAUGAUGACGGUACCCGCCGAAUAAGCUCCGGCUAACUUCGUGCCAGCAGCCGCGGUAAU